AUGCCGCUCUCUAGUCUGCUCUGGGUGUUCCUGGCCUUCACCUUCUCUGGAUCUUGUGUGGCCCAGAAAGUUACUCAAGAACAGUCAGACAUAAUCAGGCAAGUGGGGCAGUCAGUCAUUUUUGACUGUCAGUAUGGAAUAGGUUGGUUCACCUACUACUACUCCAUUUAUUGGUAUAAGCAGCUUCCCAGGGGACAGAUGACUCUCCUUAUUCAUCAACAUUCAGAACACGGGAAUGCAGCGAAUGGCCGCUACUCUGUAAACUUCCAGAAAGCAUAUAAAUCCAUCAGCCUCACCAUUUCAGCCUUACAGCUGGAAGACUCUGCAAAGUACUUCUGUGCUCUAAGGGAGCUCUCAAGUACACGUACAAAAAGAGACUAUCACAACGCUUGA
This is a non-coding RNA of Budorcas taxicolor (takin), 393 nucleotides long. NCBI's taxonomy places the organism in Eukaryota, Metazoa, Chordata, Mammalia, Artiodactyla, Bovidae. The record is from the annotation of a RefSeq genome assembly.